This 250-nucleotide ribosomal RNA is filed under the name uncultured bacterium. Its description in RNAcentral is "partial 16S ribosomal RNA". It matches the Rfam family "Bacterial small subunit ribosomal RNA", at positions 524 to 773 of the family's 1533-position model. The record is from RNAcentral.
UACGGAGGGUGCAAGCGUUGUUCGGAAUUACUGGGCGUAAAGCGCGUGUAGGUUGUGAAAUAAGUCGGGUGUGAAAGCCCACGGCUUAACCGUGGAAGUGCACUCGAAACUAUUUUGCUAGAGUGCGGGAGGGGGAGGUGGAAUUCCCAGUGUAGAGGUGAAAUUCGUAGAUAUUGGGAGGAACACCGGUGGCGAAGGCGGCCUCCUGGCCCGUUACUGACGCUGAUACGCGAAAGCGUGGGGAGCAAAC